GACGCCGCAUGCUCUAAUAAGUAUUUCUUUCCUCCUUAUCAAAAAAAAAAAAAAAAAAGAGAAAUGUAUUUCUCUCCUCUCUAUCCUCUUCCCGCAAAAAUCUUACCGUUGGAUUCCGCAACGGUACCCACAUUUGAAUUUCCCGCGUUCCUGUUCAUCUUUCUCAAACAGUUCUCCUAUUCUUCCUCCUCAUCGCCUGUGUGCGCAGACGAUGACAAUUUCCACCUCCAUAGCUUCGACCCUCAUUCUUUCUACGGUGCUCUUAUCGAUAAUUCCUCCCACAAAAGGCACUUGGGUCAAAUCCAUGCCCUUUUGCUAGUCUCCAGAUUGCAGGAGAGCCGGUUCUUGAUUAACUCAGUGAGAAAUUAGCUCUGCAAAGAAGAUGUUCGAUGAAUUUCCUGACCGGACGUGUUUUUGUGGAAUGCCGUUAUUAUAUGUUAUUCGAGACACAAUUUGUUUGUUGAAGCGCUGGAAGCAUAUUCAAGAAUGCAAGUGGCUUGGGUGGCCCCCAAUGGCUGUACUCCUCCUCUUGUGCUCAAAGCUUGCGUGGCCUUGCCUUCGCUCUUGAUGGGUCCGCGAGUACAUGGUCAGAUAUUUAGUCUCGGGUUUUUAGUCUGUUAUCUCUUUGAUGGGUUGUUUGAUAGAACAAUUGUUUUCCUGGACUUAUAUCAUCUCUGGUCACGCACAGAAUGGUCAGCCUUUGGCAGCUUUGACGGUUUAUUGUCAAAUGAGGAAAACGAAUAUGGAACCGCACUGGAUUGCUCUUGUGAUUUGGAGUUUUUGGAACAAGGAAAAAUUGUUCAUGGUUUCAUGAUUAAGUUGGGCCUUGAACUUGAAUCUGAUUUGCUUAUUUCACUUACAGCCGUGUAAGCAAAAUUUGGGCAAGUGAUGGUUGCGAGAUCAUUGUUUGAUCAGAUGUAGAUAUCAACCAAAUGUGACGUUGCGGAAUGCGAUGAUUUCUGGUUAUGCAAAGAAUGGUUAUGCUGAGGAAGCUGUGAAGCUAUUCCGUGAGAUGAUCUCUAAAUAAUAUUGGAACAGAUUCUACAACUGUCAGCUAUCUUAACUUGAGAACAAGUUGAUCUCUUGCGUUAGCUAAGUGGAUGGAUUAUUAUAUUGGCAAAAGUGAAUAUAGAAAUAAUGUUAUUGUUAACACGGUCCUCAUCGAUAUGUAUGCAAAAUGUGGAAGUGUAGAUUUGGCUCCAAUGUUUUUCGAUAGAACACUUGAUAAAGAUGUUGUCAUGCGGAGUGCCAUGAUUGUGGGAUAUGGAUUGCAUGGUCGGGACCAGAAGCAAUUACUCUUUAUCAAGCAAUGAAACAAGCUAGUGUUCAGCCGAUCGAUGCUACCUUUGUUCUUGCUGCGUGCAAUCAUUCAGGUCUUGGAGAAGAGGGAUGGGUACUGUUUCACCACAUAAGAAAGCAUGGAGUUGAGCCCGCCACCAGCAUUAUGCUCGUGUUGUUGAUCUUCUUGCUCGUGCAGGCUAUUCGAACCAUGCAUUUAAAUUUAUUAUGAACAUGCCAUUGAACCACGGUUAUCUGUGAGGCGCGCACUUCUGAGUGCUUGGAAGAUCCCCAUGCAGCAGUGGGAGAAUAUGCUGCAGACCGUCUGUUCUCAUUGGACCCACACAAUAUAGGGGUUAUCUUCAGCUGUCAAAUCUCUAUGCUUUCGCUAGCUUGUGGGAUUGUAUUGCAAAGAUACGGGGUAUUGAUGAGGGAGAAAAGACUGACAAAAGACCUGGGGUAUAGCCGGAUCGAGAUCAAUGAAAAGCUUCAAGCAUUUGGACGUUGACGCAUUAUAUCCUCUUCCCGCAAAAAUCUUACCGUUGGAUUCCGCAACGGUACCCACAUUUGAAUUUCCCGCGUUCCUGUUCAUCUUUCUCAAACAGUUCUCCUAUUCUUCCUCCUCAUCGCCUGUGUGCGCAGACGAUGACAAUUUCCACCUCCAUAGCUUCGAC
Molecule: long non-coding RNA, 1952 nt
Filed under: Citrus sinensis (sweet orange)
Lineage: Eukaryota; Viridiplantae; Streptophyta; Magnoliopsida; Sapindales; Rutaceae
Description: long non-coding RNA (CSIN_LNC000815)
Source: RNAcentral